This 530-nucleotide ribosomal RNA is filed under the name uncultured microorganism. RNAcentral's name for it is "bacterial SSU rRNA". It matches the Rfam family "Bacterial small subunit ribosomal RNA", at positions 9 to 521 of the family's 1533-position model. The record is from RNAcentral.
GAGUUUGAUCAUGGCUCAGGAUGAACGCUGGCGGCGUGCCUAAUACAUGCAAGUCGAGCGAACAGAUAAGGAGCUUGCUCCUUUGAAGUUAGCGGCGGACGGGUGAGUAACACGUGGGUAACCUACCUAUAAGACUGGGAUAACUUCGGGAAACCGGAGCUAAUACCGGAUAACAUUUAGAACCGCAUGGUUCUAAAGUGAAAGAUGGUUUUGCUAUCACUUAUAGAUGGACCCGCGCCGUAUUAGCUAGUUGGUAAGGUAACGGCUUACCAAGGCGACGAUACGUAGCCGACCUGAGAGGGUGAUCGGCCACACUGGAACUGAGACACGGUCCAGACUCCUACGGGAGGCAGCAGUAGGGAAUCUUCCGCAAUGGGCGAAAGCCUGACGGAGCAACGCCGCGUGAGUGAUGAAGGGUUUCGGCUCGUAAAACUCUGUUAUUAGGGAAGAACAAAUGUGUAAGUAACUGUGCACAUCUUGACGGUACCUAAUCAGAAAGCCACGGCUAACUACGUGCCAGCAGCCGCAGU